Molecule: long non-coding RNA, 718 nt
Organism: Oxyura jamaicensis (ruddy duck)
Lineage: Eukaryota; Metazoa; Chordata; Aves; Anseriformes; Anatidae
Exons: 4
Source: RefSeq, a predicted model, not a curated record
CCCUGCUGCAAAGUUGAUGCUGCAGACCCCCUGGUGCACAGCUGAAAGUCACUUGACAAGAUUAAUUAUUUUGGGUGUUUUAGUGGUGUUUGUGAGGCCCUGGCAUGCAGAUUAAUCUCAUGGUGCCAGGUGCCAUGCAGGUGAGCCUCAUCACCUCACCUCACCGUGAGUGAGACGCGUUGGCCGGGCUCGGCACACCUGGUGAUUUCUUCAGGACUUACCUGCAGCCUGAGGAGUAGCUGCCUCAGGAUUUAUAGCAGUGAAGUCUCUCCUACCCCUUCUUAGAAAUGAAAUUAAAGGCAACACAGAUCAUUUGAUAUGUUGGAAUAUGGGAAUUUUGACAUUGACUUCUGUGAGAGUGGGGGAAGAGAAGGAACUGGGCAAAACUCAUCCAGAAGGAUGCAUCUGUUCAGGUCUGGAAGUUAUUUUUUAACAGGAUAACUUCCAUUAGAUCAUUGUCAACCCCUUGGCGUGCUGUGAAAAAAACAACUCAGGGGAGUAGCAGGAGGAGUGCAGAGAUGAGACAAAGCUGUGCUGUAUUCAUGGAGGACAAUGGAUAAACACAGCACACCCAGAGAGCAAGAAGUAACUAUGCUUUUUGUGACACACUCUUUCCUGGAAUAUUUUAAAGGGAGCACAACCUCAGCUUUCUUUCAGCAUAGUCCUUUCAUUCCAAAGAUUUACCUGUUUCUGGGGAGAACUAAAGGAAGGCAAAGUC